Long non-coding RNA from Arabidopsis lyrata subsp. lyrata, 831 nucleotides. RefSeq lists it as uncharacterized. The record is from RefSeq and is a predicted model, not a curated record. The transcript is spliced from 2 exons. NCBI's taxonomy places the organism in Eukaryota, Viridiplantae, Streptophyta, Magnoliopsida, Brassicales, Brassicaceae.
CUAUUUCUCGAAAUUAUUUUUAUUUUCUUUUAAAUCUGAAAUAAAUUUUAUUUGAUCUAUCCGUCACGCUAAACUAGCGGAUCUAAUCGUCGGAUAUGUCAUCAUAAAUUUUAAUUAUUUUGUAUUCACGAUUUGGUUGUUUUGUUCUUUCGUGUUUCGUAAAGUGGUAGAUGUUCCAGAUUAUCCUUUCGUCACAGUCAGAGAUCUCGCCAAGGAUUUCCCGAUACAUGAUGGUCUCGAUCCUGAAUCUGUUUGUGAGAAAAUCAAACAAGGUCUGGAUUUUCCUGGUGAAGUGUCAUUCUCGGCUUAUUAUGGAGAAAAGACCUUCCCGGAUGUAGUACUGAAUAAAUACCGUGAUGCCGGAAUCACCCUCCAUCCCCAUGGUAAGUAUGCGUCUUCAACCACAUUUUUCUUUUUUAAUUACUUACAUAUAUCUCCCAUGAUAUUUAUACUUUAUAUUUUUCAAUGGGUAAAUGUACGAGAUUGAAUCAUAUGAUCCUCGACAUUCUUUUAUGGAAACUGGAUAAUGAUCCGGACUAUUUUCACCCAAGAAAUUUGGUGGUAAUCUCAAGAAACAUUUCGAAAGAUACGGUGUUCAGCAAUGUUCUCCGAGGGUUUCAGUCUAGUUGUACUGAUUAUAAUGUUGUCGUAGUACUACUGCAUGAUAACUUUGCAUCAAAGGGAAUGCCACCACUUGCUGAUGUAUGAAACCAUGCAUUUUUCGUUUGUUUGCUUCAUCUUUCUUCUCUAAAUACAAACUCUGUUUUAUGUUCAAAUUAUUUAUAUAUGAAGUCUUUUAAAUUAUAAUCUAGUUAAACUUUUCAAACUCAA